Schistocerca cancellata (South American locust) is the source of this 2148-nucleotide long non-coding RNA. RefSeq lists it as uncharacterized. The record is from RefSeq and is a predicted model, not a curated record. The transcript has 2 exons. NCBI's taxonomy places the organism in Eukaryota, Metazoa, Arthropoda, Insecta, Orthoptera, Acrididae.
UAAGUACUUUAUUUCUAUUCUGUAUCAAAAAAUUUUCAAACCACCCUCGUUAUUUCACCAAAAACAGAUACUACAUUUUCAGGUCAUGAAUCACUGAUUCGAAAAUUAUAAAGUGCACCAACGUUAUACCCUACUAUGGCUACAGCACAGCAAUUUUGAUCAACCGAAUAUGGUGAUGAUUUCAAAUUCUGGCAUUGUUAAACAAUAACAAGUUGUAAAGGAAAGGCAUGUCACACAGUGUCCUGGAUGAAAGGACCCCGAAUCUUACAAUAUUGCAGCGCCUGUGUUCAGAAGUAGGAUGCAAAGUUCCUUCAGACUGAAGGAACAGGCACUGCAGUUACUAUAGCCAUUAAGAAACACUUGAUGUAUUCACAGCUGCAAAUAUUGACAAAACAUGAGUGGUAUAAUGGAAUGACAACAAUGAAAAUCUGUGCUGGACUGGGACUUGAAUCCGUAUUUUCCAGUUACCCAUGAGCAGUAACCUUACCAUUAGGCUAUCCGAGCAUGACUCAUGGUCAGACCCAAAAUUCCAUAUGCCUCACCCAUGUGUCUACGACCUGCACUCGUACAUUCAUUAUAUAUAUUCCUGUAUGGGGAACACAUUUUAAUUGAAAGUCACUUGCCCAUUAUUGAUGGACAAAUACGAAAUUGUAGUGCCUGUGUGGUUCAGAAGUACAAUGCAAAGUUCCUUCAGACGUGCAUGCAUAUCCGAAGGAACUUUGUAUUGUACUCCUGAACCACACAGGCACUACAAUGUCAUAUUUAUUCAUCAAUAAUGGGCAAGUGACUUUCGAUUAAAAGUCUCCCUCAUAGAGGAAUAUACAUAAUGAAUGUACAAGUGCAGGUUGUAGACACAUGGUUGAUGGCAUAUGGAAGUUUAGAUAUGGCUGUGAGUUGUGCUUGGAUAGCCCAAUGGUAAGGUGACCACUUGCGAUAAUGGGAAACCCAGGUUCAAGUUUCAGUCCAGCACAGACUCGUCAAUAUAUGCAACUGCACAUACAUUCCCUGUAGAGAUGAGUCUUUCUCAUCCUACAAUUUGGGUGAUGUGGCCUCCCUUUUCAACAUUCUCCAACACAUCCCUCUCUCCUUGCCAGGGAAGGAACCAACAUUUCUGAAAGCUAGGGUAGUGUGUCACUUGGUAGGACUACACAAAUUCACAAAAUAUCACUUUCUGGUCUGAAGCAUUAAUAUUGGUACAAAUAUAAAAUCCUUCAAAUGUGGCAUAAAUUUCUUGCUGUUUGUUACUUUUUCUCUGUGGUUCUGCAUACAUGAUGUGUUUUAAAAAAUACUGUGCACAUUUGCAAUUCUUGCUUUAUCAAGUUAACAAACUGAAAAACUAACAGAGUUUCAAAGAAAUCUGAGUUGUAUCUACCCACCAACUUGGUACUCUUUUACUGACAAAAGGAAAUAAUUCCCAUCCAACAUUAGCAAAUGCCUGUUUAUUUCAUAAGUGAAUCAAGUGUACUGUACACAAUAAGUGCCUAAAAUAUUUUCUGAAAAGCAAGGAGUAGAGGCAGGUCACAAGCAGGAGUAUUUCUAGAUCUUAAUUCAUUUAAUUAGUUUUUGAAGAAUAAGUCCCAUACAAAUAUGAUAGAAUCUGCUUGUAUCAACAACAAUUGUGUCACACUACAUAGUGUUGUGCAUAAUAUCACAGUCAUCACAGCAUGGAUAUGGCAGUAAAGGAAAUAACAUUACCACAUCAGAAACAUGACAUUAGAAAGGCAGGCGCAAUGCACAAUAAAACAUGUAAUUGAGUAACAAUGUACAGCUACCUAUUAAAUGAUUUCUAAUUAUAGUAAGAUAACUGCAAUCAUUCAAUUUUCUGUUACUAUCAUACAUUUCAGUGUCUCAGAAUUUCAAAUCAUACACUACAGAUUACAUUAAGCAGCACAACAAUUUUAAUUAAUUUCUCUGACUGUUGCAAAACUUAUACUUAAAAGACAAAAAUCAGCUGUAAUGUAGCUUAAUGUACAUUUUGUACAAUUUGUAAAUAUGCAAUCGAAUCAGUCCUACAAUUAUCAAUCACGAGACCGAGGGUUUUCCUUGUCCCACAAUAAAAUACAUACAGGAUAUUUUUACUUUACAGAAUCAAAUUAUAUAUAGUCUCCCUAUAUACAAUAAUUACAUUAACUCAACAGAAAACAAAAG